RNAcentral lists this ribosomal RNA (209 nucleotides) under uncultured bacterium. RNAcentral's name for it is "partial 16S ribosomal RNA". It matches the Rfam family "Bacterial small subunit ribosomal RNA", at positions 568 to 776 of the family's 1533-position model. The record is from RNAcentral.
CUCGUAGGUGGUUUGUUGCGUCCGCUGUGAAAACCUGGGGCUUAACCCCGGGCCUGCAGUGGAUACGGGCAGACUAGAGGUAGGUAGGGGAGAAUGGAAUUCCUGGUGUAGCGGUGAAAUGCGCAGAUAUCAGGAGGAACACCGGUGGCGAAGGCGGUUCUCUGGGCCUUACCUGACACUGAGGAGCGAAAGCGUGGGGAGGCAAAACA